CUCUAAUGACUGCGUAAUAAAAACCACAUGGCUGAACAGUCACACACGGAGCACCGCUGCUUUACUGUGGCUCACUGAGGUACUGAGCUACUGAGGUACUGAGCUACUGAUGUACUGAGCUACUGAGGCACUAAGUUACCAGGAUACUGAUUUACUUUCACUCUGAGCUACUGAGGCACUAAAAUACUGAUGUGCUGAGGUACUGAGGUACUGAAAUACUGAAAUACUGAGCUACUGAGGGACUAAAAUACUGAUGUGCUGAGGUACUGAAAUACUGAGGCACUAAAAUACUGAUGUGC
Molecule: long non-coding RNA, 299 nt
Organism: Ictalurus punctatus (channel catfish)
Lineage: Eukaryota; Metazoa; Chordata; Actinopteri; Siluriformes; Ictaluridae
Source: Ensembl